Molecule: long non-coding RNA, 203 nt
Filed under: Elaeis guineensis (African oil palm)
Lineage: Eukaryota; Viridiplantae; Streptophyta; Magnoliopsida; Arecales; Arecaceae
Description: long non-coding RNA (EGUI_LNC029371)
Source: RNAcentral
UAUAUUUUAUGCUGAUUUAAUGUAAAUCCAAUCUUUUCAAAUAUUCAUAUAUAAUAUAAUUAUAAAUCCGAUUCGAUUCAAAAUACUCGUAACUCAACAGCCUCGACUAUGACUAGCGUUUAACCCCCAUUGACGGGAUCCACUGAAUACUAGCGCACAACCCCCACUGACAGAGUCCACCAAACACCAGCGCACAACCUCCA